RNAcentral lists this transfer RNA (89 nucleotides) under Spirochaetota bacterium. RNAcentral's name for it is "Spirochaetes bacterium tRNA-Ser". It matches the Rfam family "tRNA". Rfam says of the family: Transfer RNA (tRNA) molecules are approximately 80 nucleotides in length. Their secondary structure includes four short double-helical elements and three loops (D, anti-codon, and T loops). Lineage: Bacteria; Pseudomonadati; Spirochaetota. The record is from RNAcentral.
GGAGAGAUGGCUGAGUGGUCGAAAGCGGCGGUCUUGAAAACCGUUGUCCCUCGUCAGAGGGACCGUGGGUUCGAAUCCCACUCUCUCCG